CCUACGGGUGGCUGCAGUGGGGAAUAUUGGACAAUGGGCGAAAGCCUGAUCCAGCCAUGCCGCGUGUGUGAAGAAGGCCUUCGGGUUGUAAAGCACUUUCAGUGGGGAAGAAAGCCUUGGGGCUAAUACCCUCGAGGAAGGACAUCACCCACAGAAGAAGCACCGGCUAACUCCGUGCCAGCAGCCGCGGUAAUACGGAGGGUGCGAGCGUUAAUCGGAAUUACUGGGCGUAAAGCGCGCGUAGGCGGUCUGAUAAGCCGGUUGUGAAAGCCCCGGGCUCAACCUGGGAACGGCAUCCGGAACUGUCAGGCUAGAGUGCAGGAGAGGAAGGUAGAAUUCCCGGUGUAGCGGUGAAAUGCGUAGAGAUCGGGAGGAAUACCAGUGGCGAAGGCGGCCUUCUGGACUGACACUGACGCUGAGGUGCGAAAGCGUGGGUAGCAAACAGGAUUAGCUACCCGUGUAGUC
This 465-nucleotide ribosomal RNA is filed under the name Vreelandella stevensii. RNAcentral describes it as "partial 16S ribosomal RNA". It matches the Rfam family "Bacterial small subunit ribosomal RNA", at positions 338 to 795 of the family's 1533-position model. The record is from RNAcentral. Lineage: Bacteria; Pseudomonadati; Pseudomonadota; Gammaproteobacteria; Oceanospirillales; Halomonadaceae.